This 254-nucleotide ribosomal RNA is filed under the name uncultured bacterium. RNAcentral's name for it is "partial 16S ribosomal RNA". It matches the Rfam family "Bacterial small subunit ribosomal RNA", at positions 524 to 776 of the family's 1533-position model. The record is from RNAcentral.
UACGGAGGGUGCAAGCGUUAUCCGGAUUCACUGGGUUUAAAGGGUGCGUAGGUGGGUUUGUAAGUCAGCGGUGAAAUCUCCGGGCUUAACUCGGAAACUGCCAUUGAUACUAUAGAUCUUGAAUUUUCUGGAGGUAAGCGGAAUAUGUCAUGUAGCGGUGAAAAUGCUUAGAUAUGACAUAGAACACCAAUUGCGAAGGCAGCUCGUUACACGAAGAUUGACUCUGAGGCACGAAAGCGUGGGGAUCAAACAGG